This 62-nucleotide ribosomal RNA is filed under the name uncultured organism. RNAcentral describes it as "partial 16S ribosomal RNA". The record is from RNAcentral.
UGGGUUUGACAUCCUCUGACAAUUAUAGAAAUAUAACUUUUUCAGCAAUGAAACAGAGAGAU